AUGUCUUCUAUUCAAAUGAUGUCUGUUAACAAACUUGGUUACCAAAAGCUGAGACAUGAAGUUGGGUCUGAUGAUGAAAGGGAGAGAAUCACCAUUCAGAGACCAAGGAAUUUUAUAAGGUUUCGAAAGAUUCCUAUGAGGAGAAGAUUCAAGCUGAAAAUACCAAGCUUGAGAAGACUUUGGAGGAAGAAAGCCAAAGUGGUUUCUUCCAUGAGAAUUUCAUGUGCUAAAGUUAUGAAAAGAUUUAAAGAUGGACAUGUUCAUUUUGGUGAUCUUUUUGCUGGAAACUACUUGUUCAUGCAAGUUAAUCCUUCUUCACUCAACUACCUUGGAAAAGAGAUCUCUCUUUCAAAAUUUGCUUAA
This is a non-coding RNA of Vicia faba (fava bean), 363 nucleotides long. NCBI's taxonomy places the organism in Eukaryota, Viridiplantae, Streptophyta, Magnoliopsida, Fabales, Fabaceae. The record is from the annotation of a GenBank genome assembly.